AUGAGAGAGGUGGGUUUCAAGAAGAGAGGAGCCGUCAUCUGCUUGCCUGUUAGGGUCACUCAGACUUUGCUGGAGCUAGACCAUGAUGGGGGUGUUAGGGGAGGCAGAAGCAGGAAGACCGGCCAUCAUCAAUGUGAGGCAAAGGCAGCUUGGGUUACCGUGGUGGACAUGGCGAUGUCAGAAGGCGGAAGCAGGAAGACCGGCCGUCAUCGAUGUGAGGCAAAGACAGCUUGGGUUACCAUGGCGGACAUGGUGGUGUCAGAAGGCGGAAGCAGGAAGACCGGCCGUCAUCGAUGUGAGGCAAAGGCAGCUUGGGUUACCGUGGUGGACAUGGUGAUGUCAGAAGGCGGAAGCAGGAAGACCGGCCAUCAUCGAUGUGAGGCAAAGGCAGCUUGGGUUACCAUGGUGGACAUGGUGGUGUCAGAAGGCGGAAGCAAGAAGACCGGCCAUCAUCGAUGUGAGGCAAAGACAGCUUGGGUUACCAUGGUGGACAUGGUGGUGUCAGAAGGCGGAAGCAGGAAGACCGGCCAUCAUCGAUGUGAGGCAAAGACAGCUUGGGUUACCGUGGUGGACAUGGUGGUGUCAGAAGGCGGAAGCAGGAAGACCGGCCAUCAUCGAUGUGCGGCAAAGACAGCUUGGGUUACCGUGGUGGACAUGGUGGUGUCAGAAGGCGGAAGCAGGAAGACCAGCCAUCAUCGAUGUGAGGCAAAGACAGCUUGGGUUACCGUGGUGGACAUGGUGGUGUCAGAAGGCAGAAGCAGGAAGACCGGCUGUCAUCGAUGUGAGGCAAAGACAGUUUGGGUUACCAUAGCGGACAUGGUGGUGUCAGAAGGCGGAAGCAGGAAGACCAGCCAUCAUCGAUGUGAGGCAAAGACAGCUUGGGUUACCGUGGUGGACAUGGUGGUGUCAGAAGGCGGAAGCAGGAAGACCGGCUGUCAUCGAUGUGAGGCAAAGACAGUUUGGGUUACCAUGGCGGACAUGGUGGUGUCAGAAGGCGGAAGCAGGAAGACCGGCCAUCAUCGAUGUGAGGCAAAGACAGCUUGGGUUACCGUGGUGGACAUGGUGGUGUCAGAAGGCGGAAGCAGGAAGACCGGCCAUCAUCGAUGUGAGGCAAAGACAGUUUGGGUUACCGUGGUGGACAUGGUGGUGUCAAAAGGUGGAAGCAGGAAGACCAGCCAUCAUCGAUGUGAGGCAAAGACAGCUUGGGUUACCAUGGUGGACAUGGUGGUGUCAGAUUCUGGAUCUGUUUUGAAGGUGAAGUCAAUCAAGCAUACUGAUGGAUUAGAUGUAGGAAAUGAGAGAGAGGGGGGUCAAGCAUGUCUUCUAGAUGUUCAUCCUGAGCAGCGAGGAGUCACCACUAACGGUGAGACAUGA
This 1374-nucleotide long non-coding RNA is filed under the name Callithrix jacchus (white-tufted-ear marmoset). RNAcentral's name for it is "lncRNA (ENSCJAG00000078279.1)". Lineage: Eukaryota; Metazoa; Chordata; Mammalia; Primates; Cebidae. The record is from RNAcentral.